RNAcentral lists this ribosomal RNA (220 nucleotides) under uncultured bacterium. RNAcentral's name for it is "partial 16S ribosomal RNA". It matches the Rfam family "Bacterial small subunit ribosomal RNA", at positions 126 to 334 of the family's 1533-position model. The record is from RNAcentral.
CUUCCCUUGAGCGGGGGACAACGAGGCGAAAGCCUCGCUAAUACCGCAUACGUAUCUUUGGACUUUGGUCUGAAGGUGGAAAGCUAGGCCGCAAGGUCCGGCACUCGAGGAGGAGCCUGCGUCGCAUCAGCUAGUUGGUGGGGUAACGGCCUACCAAGGCGAAGACGCGUAGCUGGUCUGAGAGGAUGAUCGGCCACACUGGGACUGAGACACGGCCCAG